GGAAAGGGAAGUUCCUGAGAUCGCGUUGGUGGAGGUGGGCACGAGGGCAGCACCCCAGCCCCCACUUGGAGCUGUCCUGUGCCUCCCAUGCUGCCUGACAGGGAAACUGGGAGCUGAGCACCCUGAAGCCUUUCAGGAAGUAACCAGAGGAGCAGCUCCCGCUGCCAAGCGCUGUGCUGCGCUCCCACGGGCUGUUGCGCCUGCCCUGCAAGGGGACACACGGACGGACCCCUCUACAGAGGACGUAGACUCAGGGCACUGACUGCUCAAGGCUACAGACCCAGAGCUGCCUCGUCCCCAGCCUCGGUAGGCACAGGGGCAGGGCUCCCUUCUCCCUGGUGAUGACUGCCCACUGGACCCAGUGGUCGGUGGAGGAAGAGGGCUCUGGGAAAGGAGGAGUCACAAGUCUCCUCAGCCCAUCAGUCCCUCUUGUGGGGCUAUCAUGACCCUCAGGGACAUUAGGGGCCCUGGAGGCUUCUCUGCCUCAGUUUCCCCAUAUGUCAGAUGGGGUGAGGAGGGUCUCUGUAGCCCUGGGGGUGCUCUCCAAGCUUCCAGGCCUGGUGUGGACAGUCUGGCCCAGGCCUUCACAGGGGCACAGGAGGAGAACACAGAGCUUGCCUCCAUUCCUGCUGGGGCCUGAGGCCCGAGUCCAGAGCUCAGGCAGGUGGCCCUGCAGCUCUGGUGGCCCCUGCUUUUCAGCCUCACAGUUGCCCAUUAUUCUUAUUUUUAAUAUCCUUAAAAAAUGUAAUGAGAGGAAGGGAAAACAGGCCUGGUGGGGCCAGAAAUCUCUGUUUCCUCUCAGCCAGGAAACAGGAAGUGCUUGUGCAGGGGAGAUGGGGAACCGGCCCCAGAGAACAAUGGGAGCCCCUCCAGAGGGGAAGGGCAACUGCGUCAGGCCCGGGGCUGCAGGAAGCCGACCCCCGCACCCUGGCGGAGACAUGGAUCUAGCCUGGCUUGUGUUGCUGUGAAACUCAGGAGCUCCUCUAGUGGGAGUAGGAGGAGCUGGCCCCAGUCCGGGAAGUCAGGCUCCUGGGGUCUUAGCGACCAUCUGACUGUCCUGUUUCACCUGUGUAAACUGGAGUCCAGACAGCAAGAAGCUGGCCUGGGCACCUGGGAGUAGGAGACAGCACACCAUGGCCAUCCUGUCGGGGUUGAGAUUGGAGGCUGCAGGUUGCCGGCCUUCAGCCCCCUCCACCACCUGCCCCUGGAUCUUCUGCGGCAGGAGAGGGAUGGGGAGGCAGGUGCUGAGCCUGCUGGACAGCAUGAGCCCAGGGCUCCCAGUAACACUGCCAGGCCUCUGCACUGGCCGGGCUCCUGUGGGCUCCUGUCAGCCUCCAGGUCUGCCUGAGCUCCACUGAGAAGCUGUACAGCCUGCCCACUUAAAUGAGUAAUUCCAUGUGGGAACAGUCAAGAGCAGCUGUGGGUCAGCGAGCUGUGGCCCUCGGGCCCAGGCGCCCGCUCACCUACUACCUGCCUCUAGUUUGUCCUCUGGACAUUCCCAUGUGCGUGGAGGGCAGUGUGAGGUCUUUGGUCACUGGCUUCUUUCACUGAUUGUCUCCAGAUCCUUCCAAGUUGGAGCAUGGGUGAGAGCUGUGUUCCCUCCUGUGUCGAGAGUGUCCAGUGUGACUGGGCACUCAGUGCUUGUCCUGGUCCCUGGUGGGCCUCCGCCCUGUCUCUACCCUUGGCUGGUUUGAACUCAUUGCUGUGAACAAGCAUCUGCAUGGCUUGGCGGGGACUUUGGCUCCUUUCUCUCACGCAUGCACCAGGGCCAGGGGUUUAUAGCAACACGUGGUCAGUGGCUGCCCUGCUAUGCCUUCCGAGCCUGUGGUUUCUGACACACAAACUUUGGAAAGCCCCAGGGAAGCUAGAGGGCUAGUGGGGACAGGGCAGAGGUGUCCCCAGAUCCUGCCAGGAUGUGCACAAGAGGGUGGUGUGGGGAACGUGCAGGAGCUGCCCUCUCUGUCCUCCCCUGCCCAGGCACAGAGCUGACCCUAACCCUCACCCCCAUAAGGCUCAGAGGCAUGCCCUACAGUGUGCCCAUCUGCAGUUGAGGACUGGGGCUUGCCUGAGGCUUCAGCCUGGGAGAAGCAGAGUGAACUGGGCAGCGGCUGCCUGGCCUCAGAACCAGGUCUGUCCUCCUGGGUGGGAGGUGGCUGAAGGAGCAAGGAAGCAGCACUCCCAGCCAGCCUGGUGGGAAUGAGUCCUGCAAGACGGAGCCCAAGUGGGCAGGAGGCCCAGCUGUCCUCUCCUGCACCUGAGAGGGCUCAGUGGCUUCUCCUUGCCUGCAGGAGCCCUUGGGCCAGGACAGGGUACAGGCUCCCAUGGGCUGUGGGGCCAGUGGCUAACCUCCCUCCAAAUGUUCAAGGGGCCGGACAAGAUGAGACUUCCUUUCUGCAGAUUCCCGUGGGGUCAGAUCCCAGUGGGGGUCUGCCCUGAGCCUGCUGACCUGGUCAGACCCCCCCCAGGAGGUGACCCCUGGUGCGCUCUCAGGCUGCCCACUGGAAUGUGUAGCUGUUCCGCCUCAGCGCCCGGAAAGCAUCUGCAGCCCGGACCCAGCCUGCUCUCCCUGCCCUGGCUCUUGAUCCCGGACAAAGGAGCCAGGGCCAGGAAGGUGAGGCGCCACCCACCAGUGGGGCAGGGGCUGUGCUGGGAACUCGCCAGCUCUGGGCCUGGGGCUCUCAGGUUCUUCUCUGGGCCCCCGCUUCUGCCCUAGAUUCUCAGGGGUCUAUCAAGACCCCUUCCAAAUGCAUCCACCAUCAUGCCAGGAGAGAACUAGGGCCCAGAGAGGUUGCCCAAGUCCCACAACAGCAAGAGACAAAGCCAGAGCAGAAUUCAGGUCACUCUGUGGCCAAGUCUGUGUCCCCUGCCCUCUCCCACCUGUGGCUCCCAGUUCAAGGAUUCCCAUGGCUGGGCAGCCAGGUGCUCCAGGCCUGGAUCCCUGUCUCCUCUCCUCCCAGAGUGCUGGUCCCGCCCUGUUCUUUCCCACUUGUCCCUCUGGGGUGACUGUGUGAAGGUGGCCCUGGGCUUUUCCCAGGCAGAGGGGGCAGGGCACUCCCAGGCCCUGGCAGCCCCUCCGCCCCAGGAGGGAGCCCACCAUGUGGGGGUUUCGGCACCACUGCUACAGGCCGCCAUGUGGACCUCGGGACACCCACUGGACUCAGCUAGGAUGCCCAGCUCCCCCGCCCCCACGCUCAGGCCUGCUGGGGACCACUGCUUCUCCAGUCAAGCCCUGCCCUGGACAAUGGCCGGAAACCCUGGCUCAGACUGCAGGCCGGCACGUGGGCCCCGGGGGAAGCGGGGGCUGCUGAGUGAGCCAGGCUCUCCCCCAGCGGCCCUCACAGAAACCUGCUGUCGCUGCCUCCAGGCCACAUGUGGACACUGCCCCUUGGAGGCCUGGGAAGGCAGAAGGUUCAGGAAGUUGGCCACAGAUGGGCCUCAGGCCCUGGGCUCAGAGAGGGACUUCCACCUUGUCCCCACCACCAGACCCCAUGGGUUGAGGGACAGAGCGGGAGGGCUCAGGAACUGUGGUCCAUGAAGAUGAUGGCGAUUGUCACCACUGGUGGGAGGGCUGCAGGGCACCGGACCCCCACCCCGUCUGGCCCCCUGUCUGGAAGGAUGCUGCUCCCAGGGCCCCCUGAGAACAGGUCCCAGCACAGCACACUGGCAGGGAGGGCUGAUUCCAUUGCACAGCAAGGCUGCAGGCUGGACACUCCCAAGGACAGAGCCGUCAUCACCAGGAGCCAGCACCAGCUGAGGGACCUCGGGGGCGGCAGCAGGAAGACCACUCCAGGCCUGCGGAUAAUUUAUUUGUUGAUAUUCAUUUUAUGAUUCCAAAAUAAGAAUUGAUUUCUUGCUUGUUGUCCAGCUCUCGAGAGGAGCCGGUUGGAUCUGAGGCACAAAAGCAGGACAGAGAAGCCCCCACGACCCAGCUUUUGGGAGCUUCUGUGAGCCAGGCCCUGUUCUUACUGAGACUGAUCCUCACAUGCCUGCUCAGAGAGGAGUCCUUGUGCCCCACCCCCCCAACAGAAAGAAGCCAUCCAGCUGAGUCCCAGCUCCAUAGCGUCAGAGACAGGCCUCCAUGUUGGUGACAGGGACAGAUGUCCCUUAGAUCAACUGAGGUGAAAUUAAGACAGGUAUACACUUUUUUGGGGGGGUACUGGGGAUUGAACUCAGGGGCACUUGACCACUGAGCCCCAUCCCAGCCCUAUUUUGUAUUUUAUUUAGAGACAGGGUCUCACAGAGUUGCUUAGGGCCUUGCUUUUGCUGAGGCUGGCUUUGAACUUGCGAUCCUCCUCCCUCAGCCUCCCAAGCUGCUGAGAUUACAGGAGUAUGCCACUGUGCCUGGCUGACAUAUGUAUUCAUAAGAGCCUGUUUUUAGAGCAGUUUUAGGUUCACAGCCAAACAGGAAGGUGCAUAGAUUUCCCAGGCACCUGGGCCCCUCACAUGUAGCCUCCUGGGUCAGUGUCCCCCAGAAUGAGGCCACGUGGACACGCCAUCAUCACCUAGGGUCCACAGUGCCCUGAGGGUUUGCACAGGUGUAGCUGAGCCACCCUCACCUUGAGGACCAAGGUGGAGUUUCCCCACAGCAAGCCCAACGCACUUACGGCAUCAGCAAAGCUGUGCCGAGGAAUCCCGAGAGGACUGGUAGCCAUUCCACGCCCCUGGAAGCACCCCAUGCCCCACCCAGCCCAGCAGCAUUCAGUGCCUGCCGCUCCCUGGACCUUCAAGUCUCUGGAGCUGCCCAGCCAGGGCCUGCUCAGGAUCCCACCGCGGAGAGCUGCUCACUCCUUUGCACUGCCCCAGCCUGGCUCCAGCUCAGGGCCCAAGCACAGACGGGUGGAGAGAGCGCAGCACACAGGAGAACAGGAGGGGAAGAGUGGGGUGCUACUCAAACAAAGGGUUCAUGGCGACUCAGGGGGACCUGGAGGACAUUACACGAAGUGGUCUGGGCAGGGAGAGGCCAGGUGCAGCCCUUGCCCUGGAGAGCUCCAGAGUCCAGCUCACAGAGCAGCGAGAGGGAGCCGUGCAGUGGGAGGGUGUGAGGUCGCAGACUUUGGUCAAAGCACACAAACUUUCAGCUAGACCCGAGGAGUACCCCCAUGAAAUACAGAGCGAGGCGGGGACUCCAGCAGCAAUGUGGUACUGUGAUCUUGAACCCCAGGGGUGGCAUCUUCUUUAAUUCUUGCUGUGCUGAGGUUCAAACCCAGGUUCUUGGGGACCUACCACCGAGCUGCCCCUCAGCCCCUAAGGGAAUGGAUUUUAAGUGCUGUCACCAGAGAAAAAUGACAGUGAGGUAAUGCUUGUGUUGGUUAGCCGGAUUAGGCCCUCCACGGUGUACACAAACUUAAAACUCAUGGAUGACAUACGUCUAUACAAUUUUUAUUCUUGACUGAAAACAAAAAAUUCAAGGUGCUGGGGAAAGAAGAAAUCCUGAAGACGGCCGGGGAGACGGUGGAGGUGAGGCGCUGGCCGCUGAGCCUCUCCUUAACAGGGCCCCAGCUCCUCUCGGAUGCAGCUUCGGGCCCAUGGAAUGGCACCUCGGGGAAUUUGCUGUUUUCCUAACUUUCAGAGCAGUGAGGGACACUGGGGACUGGGGACGUUCCUCCGUGGAUGCGUUCUCUGCUCAGGAGCCCAUGGCGUCCAAUUCUCCUGUGUGAGAACCCCUUCUGAACUGAGGGGCGCUCAGUGGUUCCAGGGGCCGUGGCUGACAUCCUGCAGCCCUGUGCAGUGGUGUGAGGAUCUGCUCCUCAGCAGGCUGGGCUGGGAGUGGGGCCCCGGGAUGUCCUAGCUGAGUGUGGGUGCCCUGAACACGGGGGGGGGGAGUGGUGCUGCAGCUCAUGCCAUCUGGAUAGUCACAGAAGAUGCUGGAACAUGUGCUCUGCAUCAUCCCCAAAUUCACCCUGUCUGAAAGACGGCUAAAUAGAACUUGUGUUAUGUACAUCUCCCUGCAGUUUGAAAGAAUCAAUAAUGUGGUACACCCAAGCCACAGAGGCAGAUAGUUGUCAUGGGAAUGGCAUAUUAAUAAAGCUAAGAAGGAUAAGAGGGAGGGCAGGAGGGCAUCUGUCCACGUGGGCAGGUGUGGCCAGGCCAGGCUGCCCUCUGCCCACUAGGCACUGCCAAUGCACUCUGAGGCUCUUUCCAAUCGGGCAAGAUGAGGGGUCUACUUUAGGGGGCCCUGGGGACCUGUAGUGGGCUGAGGCCUCAGUGCGGGACGGAGGUCUUCUGGAUGCGUUCUCUGCUCAGGAGCCCGUGGCGUCCAAUUCUCCUGUGUGAGAACCCCUUCUGAACUGAGGGGCGCUCAGAGCUGGUGGUCCCAGGGGCCGUGGGACAAGGAGGGACAAGGAGGCCACAGCAGGAUGACACCUUCGACCACUGAGAAGGGAGACCAGGGAGUGGGAAUGGUGGGGCUGCCUGGCCUUCAAAGGGCUUCCUGACCUCAGCCAAGGGCCACUCCUGGGGCUCAGCAGGUGGGCGAGGAUUCCCCCUGAUGGAAGCCUUUCUCGGCCCAGCACAGUGGUCUUCUGUGAGGUCACUGCAUGGGCACUGUGGGCUACGGGGGCAGAGAUAACAGUCCUCUCAGGGAUGCUGGGCUGAGAGGGCCAUCUUAAGACAGAUGACAGACACAGGAGCCCUGGGAGGGACACAUAGGUUGAGCCAGGCCCAAGCCUUUCUGGGACCUCAAGAUGGACAGAGAGUAGCGUCCAACACCCAAGGGAGAGCCCCAAGUGUGCUGGCAGCUGGAGGGAAGAUGGGGCCCCUCCCUGAGCUGGAGGGCGAGGGGCGGAGCCUCUGCUCAGGAGCUCUGGUGUUUUGUGUCCAUCCAUCUCAGCAGCCUCCGUGGAGUGGACUCUCCAGGUUCUGGCUUCAGGCUGGCAACCCUUGUGUCCAGGUAUGUGCCAGGCCCAGCAGUCACUGCACAGGGGCCUCAAACUCCCCCAGGCCCGGACCCCAGGGACUUCAGAGCCAGGGGCAGAGAGAGGCAGAGGGGAGGAGGGUGCAGGCCACGGUCUUCCCGCCCUGGCCAGCCCCUGCAGGAAAGGCUGGCCGGAGCUGAGACAAAAGGCGGACGUGCAGCUGGCCAUGUGCGCCUUAUCAGGGCCUGCACCCGCUGCACCCCAGCCGGCUCGGAAGUGCUCCUGUAGCCUGCCUUCCUGCCACUCCCCCGCCCCAACGGUGAGCUGCUAGAGACAAGGAGGCCACAGCAGGAUGACACCUUCGACCACUGAGAAGGGAGACCAGGGAGUGGCGGGGCUGCCUGGCCUUCGGAAGCCAUCUGAGACCGCAUUGAUCCUGCCAGUACUCUCCCACUCUUCAGAUGAGGAAAAUGAGGUCCAGAGCAGCCUCAGCCCCUCAAGGUCAGCCCCAUCCAGGGGAGGACAGGGCAUUCCCUGCCACCCACUGAAAAUCAUAGGUUCCCCUGCAGUUCCUUAGAGAUGCUGUGGGGACUGAGGCCCCAGCUGCCCUCUGGAGGACAAGGGGCCUCAUGGGACAGGGUGAGGUUGUUUGGCACUAUCCCCACUCCCCACUCCCCACUCCCAGGGCCAACCUGAAGGACAGUGAGUGGCAGAGGGGAGGACACAGGACUCACUCCCCAGCCCAGGGCUUUCUCUCCAUGGGGCUGCAAGGAGAUCUGCCUGGACUGAGCUGUGGGAGGUGUGUCCAGUGCUCCCUCAGUCACCCCCCAGGCACAAAGGACUUCCCCCUCCCUGUAGAGGGUGACAUCCAGCCCUCCAGGCUGGUCAGCAUUGGGGUGAAGACCCCCCAACACACUAAACCUGGGGGUAGGGGGGAGUAAAGUCCCCUCAGCCCUCCUGACACUUGCCUCGAGAAGGGGCCAGACUCUCACAGGCCCCCACUUCUGCCCAAGAGAGGAGGGGCCCCGGAAGAAGCCCUCCGACUCGGUGACCUUCUGUCCUGUGGCAUCAUCCUCAGAGGUGGCUGGGCCAAGGGGACAGGGGCUGCCGAGUGCUCUGUGCACACCCAGGGAACACCGGAAGCCAGUCCCUGGUUUGGAUCCUGGUUUGGUUUUAGGAUGUGGCCUCCUUGUCCUUCCUGAGAGUGGCGGAGCUCUGCCAUCCCGUGGGCAAAGUGCUGGGUGUGCCAUCUGCCUGUGAGGGCUCCACACUGGCCUGGCCAGGGCUUGUGACACACAGGCCGGGGUGUGUCCUGCUGCCCGUGGGGGCCGGCCAGGCCAUCCUCUGUGGGCCUGCAGGUGGACCAGGCCCAUCGCCAACGCUGGGCCCAGCCCUGCCUCAGUUUCCCAUCACAUGGAGCCUGGCCCUGUGGCCUGGCCUAGAGGGCGCGACCUGGCCAGAGAGAGGCCACGUUCACAUCCAGAGCACGUCCACACUCAGGCCCUGGCCUGGCCUGGCCUGCAGCCCUGCUGCUGCUCAUUUGACAGGACAGAGGAAGUCCCCAGGGCCUGCCUCCAUUGGCUGAUCUCACCCCUCUGGGGCUGCCCAGGAAGCAUGGGGUGCUCUGGGGAUCCCUGACCCUGUAGCAGAGCCAUGGCCCCGGGCCCAGUUGCUGUGGCCUCUGACUGCUGUGGCCUGGUCCCAGCUCCACACUCUCUGAGGCCUGCAAGUCACGGGAAGUGGCUGGGGCUUUCCUGACACCCAGCUCCCUCUCCAUGCUGGGCACUGGGGCCAGGGACUUGGCCCACAGUCUCCAGACACAGGGCCUAGUGCUCAGGGGGCUGGCCUGCCCAGGGGUAGGCAUGUGGGCACAAGGCCAGGGGGAGUAGGGCCAGGGAGGGUCCCGGUUCCAGAACCCUGAGACCCCUGGGACUGAGCUGGGUCCUCUGCCUCCAAAGUAGGUGGGCAGGGGGGCUGCCGAUGCAGUUCACCCAUUUCCCAUGGGCGGCAGUGUUUCCCCACUGGGCGGGACGGGUGGACCCUGCGGGGCCAGUCCUGGACCCAGCUCUGCAGACCCUGAGUGUGGAAGGCGUGGCCUAUCGCUGACAGCCCAGCAGCCCCAUGCAUACUGCUGGC
Molecule: long non-coding RNA, 8990 nt
Filed under: Marmota monax (woodchuck)
Lineage: Eukaryota; Metazoa; Chordata; Mammalia; Rodentia; Sciuridae
Source: RNAcentral